GUCUACGGCCAUGCUACCCUGAACAAGCCCGAUCCCGGCUGAUCUCAGAAGCUAAGCAGAGUCGGGCCUGGUUAGUACUUGGAUGGGAGACUACCUAGGAAGACCAGGUGCUGUAGGCG
RNAcentral lists this ribosomal RNA (119 nucleotides) under Pteropus alecto (black flying fox). The record is from RNAcentral. Lineage: Eukaryota; Metazoa; Chordata; Mammalia; Chiroptera; Pteropodidae.